GGCCGAUUAGCUCAGUUGGUUAGAGCGCUGCAUUCACAUUGCAGAAGUCGGAGGUUCGAAUCCUCCAUCGGCCA
Candidatus Gottesmanbacteria bacterium RBG_16_43_7 is the source of this 74-nucleotide non-coding RNA. The record is from Rfam. NCBI's taxonomy places the organism in Bacteria, Candidatus Gottesmaniibacteriota.